AACGAACGCUGGCGGCAGGCUUAACACAUGCAAGUCGAACGCCCCGCAAGGGGAGUGGCAGACGGGUGAGUAACGCGUGGGAACGUACCUUUCAGUUCGGAAUAACUCAGGGAAACUUGUGCUAAUACCGGAUACGCCCGCAAGGGGAAAGAUUUAUCGCUGAAAGAUCGGCCCGCGUUGGAUUAGCUAGUUGGUGGGGUAAAGGCCUACCAAGGCGACGAUCCAUAGCUGGUCUGAGAGGAUGAUCAGCCACACUGGGACUGAGACACGGCCCAGACUCCUACGGGAGGCAGCAGUGGGGAAUAUUGGACAAUGGGCGCAAGCCUGAUCCAGCCAUGCCGCGUGUGUGAUGAAGGCCUUAGGGUUGUAAAGCACUUUCACCGAUGAAGAUAAUGACGGUAGUCGGAGAAGAAGCCCGGCUAACUUCGUGCCAGCAGCCGCGGUAAGAGUACUCUAU
Molecule: ribosomal RNA, 457 nt
Filed under: uncultured bacterium
Lineage: Bacteria
Description: bacterial SSU rRNA
Rfam family: Bacterial small subunit ribosomal RNA
Source: RNAcentral